CAGAGAAUAGUUUAGUUUAGAAUUCUAGCUUUGGGAGUUAGAGGUGGAAGUUAAAAUCUUUCUUUU
Molecule: transfer RNA, 66 nt
Filed under: Potamothrissa obtusirostris (bluntnosed sawtooth pellonuline)
Lineage: Eukaryota; Metazoa; Chordata; Actinopteri; Clupeiformes; Clupeidae
Description: tRNA-Pro
Rfam family: tRNA
About the family: Transfer RNA (tRNA) molecules are approximately 80 nucleotides in length. Their secondary structure includes four short double-helical elements and three loops (D, anti-codon, and T loops).
Source: RNAcentral